GACGAACGCUGGCGGCGUGCUUAACACAUGCAAGUCGAACGGAAAGGCCCUGCUUUUGUGGGGUGCUCGAGUGGCGAACGGGUGAGUAACACGUGAGUAACCUGCCCUUGACUUUGGGAUAACUUCAGGAAACUGGGGCUAAUACCGGAUAGGAGCUCCUGCUGCAUGGUGGGGGUUGGAAAGUUUCGGCGGUUGGGGAUGGACUCGCGGCUUAUCAGCUUGUUGGUGGGGUAGUGGCUUACCAAGGCUUUGACGGGUAGCCGGCCUGAGAGGGUGACCGGCCACAUUGGGACUGAGAUACGGCCCAGACUCGUACGGGAGGCAGCGGUGGGGAAUAUUGCACAAUGGGAGGAAGCCUGAUGCAGCAACGCCGCGUGCGGGAUGACGGCCUGCGGGUUGUAAACCGCUUUCGCCUGUGACGAAGCGUGAGUGACGGUAAUGGGUAAAGAAGCACCGGCUAACUACGUG
This 468-nucleotide ribosomal RNA is filed under the name uncultured bacterium. Its description in RNAcentral is "partial 16S ribosomal RNA". It matches the Rfam family "Bacterial small subunit ribosomal RNA", at positions 28 to 507 of the family's 1533-position model. The record is from RNAcentral.